RNAcentral lists this ribosomal RNA (2932 nucleotides) under Escherichia sp. 92.1228. RNAcentral's name for it is "23S ribosomal RNA". It matches the Rfam family "Bacterial large subunit ribosomal RNA". Lineage: Bacteria; Pseudomonadati; Pseudomonadota; Gammaproteobacteria; Enterobacterales; Enterobacteriaceae. The record is from RNAcentral.
GGGUUGUGAGGUUAAGCGACUAAGCGUACACGGUGGAUGCCCUGGCAGUCAGAGGCGAUGAAGGACGUGCUAAUCUGCGAUAAGCGUCGGUAAGGUGAUAUGAACCGUUAUAACCGGCGAUUUCCGAAUGGGGAAACCCAGUGUGAUUCGUCACACUAUCAUUAACUGAAUCCAUAGGUUAAUGAGGCGAACCGGGGGAACUGAAACAUCUAAGUACCCCGAGGAAAAGAAAUCAACCGAGAUUCCCCCAGUAGCGGCGAGCGAACGGGGAGCAGCCCAGAGCCUGAAUCAGUGUGUGUGUUAGUGGAAGCGUCUGGAAAGGCGCGCGAUACAGGGUGACAGCCCCGUACACAAAAAUGCACAUACUGUGAGCUCGAUGAGUAGGGCGGGACACGUGGUAUCCUGUCUGAAUAUGGGGGGACCAUCCUCCAAGGCUAAAUACUCCUGACUGACCGAUAGUGAACCAGUACCGUGAGGGAAAGGCGAAAAGAACCCCGGCGAGGGGAGUGAAAAAGAACCUGAAACCGUGUACGUACAAGCAGUGGGAGCCUCUUUAUGGGGUGACUGCGUACCUUUUGUAUAAUGGGUCAGCGACUUAUAUUCUGUAGCAAGGUUAACCGAAUAGGGGAGCCGAAGGGAAACCGAGUCUUAACUGGGCGUUAAGUUGCAGGGUAUAGACCCGAAACCCGGUGAUCUAGCCAUGGGCAGGUUGAAGGUUGGGUAACACUAACUGGAGGACCGAACCGACUAAUGUUGAAAAAUUAGCGGAUGACUUGUGGCUGGGGGUGAAAGGCCAAUCAAACCGGGAGAUAGCUGGUUCUCCCCGAAAGCUAUUUAGGUAGCGCCUCGUGAAUUCAUCUCCGGGGGUAGAGCACUGUUUCGGCAAGGGGGUCAUCCCGACUUACCAACCCGAUGCAAACUGCGAAUACCGGAGAAUGUUAUCACGGGAGACACACGGCGGGUGCUAACGUCCGUCGUGAAGAGGGAAACAACCCAGACCGCCAGCUAAGGUCCCAAAGUCAUGGUUAAGUGGGAAACGAUGUGGGAAGGCCCAGACAGCCAGGAUGUUGGCUUAGAAGCAGCCAUCAUUUAAAGAAAGCGUAAUAGCUCACUGGUCGAGUCGGCCUGCGCGGAAGAUGUAACGGGGCUAAACCAUGCACCGAAGCUGCGGCAGCGACGCUUAUGCGUUGUUGGGUAGGGGAGCGUUCUGUAAGCCUGUGAAGGUGGCCUGUGAGGGUUGCUGGAGGUAUCAGAAGUGCGAAUGCUGACAUAAGUAACGAUAAAGCGGGUGAAAAGCCCGCUCGCCGGAAGACCAAGGGUUCCUGUCCAACGUUAAUCGGGGCAGGGUGAGUCGACCCCUAAGGCGAGGCCGAAAGGCGUAGUCGAUGGGAAACAGGUUAAUAUUCCUGUACUUGGUGUUACUGCGAAGGGGGGACGGAGAAGGCUAUGUUGGCCGGGCGACGGUUGUCCCGGUUUAAGCGUGUAGGCUGGUUUUCCAGGCAAAUCCGGAAAAUCAAGGCUGAGGCGUGAUGACGAGGCACUACGGUGCUGAAGCAACAAAUGCCCUGCUUCCAGGAAAAGCCUCUAAGCAUCAGGUAACAUCAAAUCGUACCCCAAACCGACACAGGUGGUCAGGUAGAGAAUACCAAGGCGCUUGAGAGAACUCGGGUGAAGGAACUAGGCAAAAUGGUGCCGUAACUUCGGGAGAAGGCACGCUGAUGCGUAGGUGAAGCGACUUGCUCGUGGAGCUGAAAUCAGUCGAAGAUACCAGCUGGCUGCAACUGUUUAUUAAAAACACAGCACUGUGCAAACACGAAAGUGGACGUAUACGGUGUGACGCCUGCCCGGUGCCGGAAGGUUAAUUGAUGGGGUCAGCCGCAAGGCGAAGCUCUUGAUCGAAGCCCCGGUAAACGGCGGCCGUAACUAUAACGGUCCUAAGGUAGCGAAAUUCCUUGUCGGGUAAGUUCCGACCUGCACGAAUGGCGUAAUGAUGGCCAGGCUGUCUCCACCCGAGACUCAGUGAAAUUGAACUCGCUGUGAAGAUGCAGUGUACCCGCGGCAAGACGGAAAGACCCCGUGAACCUUUACUAUAGCUUGACACUGAACAUUGAGCCUUGAUGUGUAGGAUAGGUGGGAGGCUUUGAAGCGUGGACGCCAGUCUGCGUGGAGCCGACCUUGAAAUACCACCCUUUAAUGUUUGAUGUUCUAACGUGGACCCGUGAUCCGGGUUGCGGACAGUGUCUGGUGGGUAGUUUGACUGGGGCGGUCUCCUCCUAAAGAGUAACGGAGGAGCACGAAGGUUGGCUAAUCCUGGUCGGACAUCAGGAGGUUAGUGCAAUGGCAUAAGCCAGCUUGACUGCGAGCGUGACGGCGCGAGCAGGUGCGAAAGCAGGUCAUAGUGAUCCGGUGGUUCUGAAUGGAAGGGCCAUCGCUCAACGGAUAAAAGGUACUCCGGGGAUAACAGGCUGAUACCGCCCAAGAGUUCAUAUCGACGGCGGUGUUUGGCACCUCGAUGUCGGCUCAUCACAUCCUGGGGCUGAAGUAGGUCCCAAGGGUAUGGCUGUUCGCCAUUUAAAGUGGUACGCGAGCUGGGUUUAGAACGUCGUGAGACAGUUCGGUCCCUAUCUGCCGUGGGCGCUGGAGAACUGAGGGGGGCUGCUCCUAGUACGAGAGGACCGGAGUGGACGCAUCACUGGUGUUCGGGUUGUCAUGCCAAUGGCACUGCCCGGUAGCUAAAUGCGGAAGAGAUAAGUGCUGAAAGCAUCUAAGCACGAAACUUGCCCCGAGAUGAGUUCUCCCUGACUCCUUGAGAGUCCUGAAGGAACGUUGAAGACGACGACGUUGAUAGGCCGGGUGUGUAAGCGCAGCGAUGCGUUGAGCUAACCGGUACUAAUGAACCGUGAGGCUUAACCUUACAACGCCGAAGGUGUUU